AUGGCUUUAGAAUUGGACCAGCCGCAUCCUGGAUUCAUGACAGCCUCUGACCCCUACUCCCAGAGCCCUGCCUUUUUUAAUAUGUGUAUGUACUCACCCACGAAUGCAUUCCUCUACUUAACACCUGUUCCUUUUUCCUCCCAAUGUCAUGAUUUGGAGUUAGACAUCUUAUUUCUCUCUCUCUUUUUAAUCCUUUCGUGGAACCUCAGUGCCCGGGAGCAGAUGACUCGAAGCCCCUCCUGCCAAUGCUCCCAUCUGGGCCCAGGGAUGUCCGCUGCUCACUCAUCCCUUUGGUGGUCCCUCUGCUUUCUUUCGUUUGGGCAUUUACUUAUCUACACGGGCCCAGAGUCGGAAAACUUUAGGCUAAAGUUAACCCUCAUCGUUGGUUCCCUGGGUCCUUUUCCAGCUCAUCUUUUUCCAGAACUCUCCGUCUGCAGGUUCUUCCCUUUUUUGUGCCGGGAGUAUGCAUUUGGAGUCAUCCUAAUGCUUGGCUCAUAAUCACGUGACCCUGUCCUCCAUAGAGACUUCCUCGCCCCCUAAUUUUAAAAAUACUCAUUUUGGGGGCUCUCUCCGUGCCUCCCCCUUUCAGUCACUCCCUCCCUCUCCUGCACCGUCUCCCCGCUGGGCCUCAUCAUCUCAUUGUCACCCCUGGUUUACGCGUGUCCACCUCUAACUCAUUCUUUCUUCCAUCUAGGUUUUAUCCUUUAAUGACAAACUUCAGGUGCCCGAUACCCAAAGUUCACGGGUCUCUCCGCCCACGAUGACCUGACCUUGCUUCCGACGUGGCCCUAUGUCUAUCCCGAGUCCCGACUUCCUGACACAACCACUGACGUCCUGGGCAUCGGUUGGCUCUCACUCAGGGCACACUCUCACCCGGGCUUGAUUCCUUCUCUCCCUGUUUCUCUGUUUGCUCAUUCCUGCAUGCUUUCAUCCACGGAUGCAUCCAUUCGCUUGUUUGGACCAGGUCACACCUCCCAGCCGUGACCUCCCAACCAGAAUAGAACCUUCACAGUAUCUCUGACCUCCCAGCUCCUCCCACUGAAUUAACCGCCCAGGUGCACACAACCCACGGUCCCCAACACAUACGCAUGGCAGGUGCAGGCGCAGGCACAGGAAAUGUUAGUGCAGCCAGAACCCGCCCCCACCGCCCCAGGGGCUCAUAUCCUACACAGAGGGGGUGGGGGUGGGUGGGGGUGGCAGAUCUGCAAUUAGGGCGGGAUGCCCCAGUCCCCGCUUCCCCAGGCCCCCUUCGGGGGGGCAGGCGCUUCCCCCUGGACCCCUGUGAAUGGCCAUCCCCAGGAGAAACCCGUUUCAAGACCCGAGAGCACACAGACACACACACGGCGGACACCGUCUCCCCGGUGGCCAACGACGGACAGAGUUCAUCUUAAAAUAGACGGCUUUGUCUGGAGCGAUAUAAAAAUAUUUUGGCCUUUCAGGGCAAAUACAAAAGGAACUACCCAUUAGCACUGCUGAGUGUCUCAGUCCCAAACAAUAAAGAACUUUGAAGAGGUUUAGCCGGAAACUUU
RNAcentral lists this long non-coding RNA (1529 nucleotides) under Sus scrofa (pig). RNAcentral describes it as "lncRNA (ENSSSCG00015010428.1)". The record is from RNAcentral. Lineage: Eukaryota; Metazoa; Chordata; Mammalia; Artiodactyla; Suidae.